This 3171-nucleotide long non-coding RNA is filed under the name Mus caroli (Ryukyu mouse). RNAcentral's name for it is "predicted gene, 26981 (MGP_CAROLIEiJ_G0006586.1)". Lineage: Eukaryota; Metazoa; Chordata; Mammalia; Rodentia; Muridae. The record is from RNAcentral.
GAGACAGGGUUUGUCUGUAUAGCCCUGGCUGUCCUGGAAUUCAUUUUGUAGACCAAGCUGGCCUCGGACUCAGAAAUCCGCCUGCCUUUGCCUCCCGAGUGCUGGGAUUAAGGGUGUGUGCCACCACGCAUUUGAGUACAGAAGAGAAUGUGAAAUGGUCUAAUUUUUAAAAGAGCUUUACAACUUAGUGAUUUUUUUUUCCUUUUAAAAAAACACAAUCUCACAUAGCCCAAGCUGUAGCUUACUCUGAGCUCACUGUGUUGGUGAAGACUACCUUGAACUUCUGAUAUUCACGCAUUCACUUCUUGAGUGUUGGAAUUACAGGUAUGCCUGUUUAUCAUAGUGAUGGAGGCAAAUAUAGGGCUUCGUGCAUACUGAGCAAACACUACCAACUGAGCUGCAGCCCUGACUCAUUAGUUUAUUUCAUGAAUAUAACUUGAAAAAUAAGAGGGCAGAGGGCUUUCAAUUAUGUAGAAUUUGAUCACAGAACCCACUUACAUGUUGUUUUAAUGUUAAACGGUGUAAAUUCAGAUCCCUUAAUAUCCUUUCAUGUAUUUCUGGGGCUAUGUUAAAAAAAAAACAAAAACAAACAAACCACAACAAAAAGAGGGCAGUGGUGGCACAUGCCUUUAAUCCCAGCACUUGGGAGGCAGAGGCAGGUGGAUUUCUUGAGUUCGAGGCCAGCCUGGUCUACAGAGUGAGUUCCAGGACAGCCAGAGCUACCCAGAGAAACCCUCUCUCAAAAAAACACCCAAAAAACCUUAUUAGGUAAUAGGAAUGCAAACCAGAGCCGGGCAUAGUGGUACCUGCUUUCAUCCUAGCAUCCAGGAAGAAGCAGGCAGAACUUUCUGAGUUAAAAGCCAGCCAAUAGAUGUAGCCAUCUGAAGACCAAACUUAGUGCUUUGUACAAACAUGGCAUGAUUACACUUCCCCAGAUCUCAUUAAAAUUUUGAAAUUGUGUGCUGGGAGGUUAAGAGUCCAUUCCAGCACUCACCUUGGAACUCACAACCAAUCUAGAAACCUCUUAUAUUUAUUGGCGCCUAUACACAAACACACACACACUUUCCCUCUCUCUCAAGGAGCUCAUAAAGUUUUAGUCUAAAAAUAUAUUAAGCUCAGUUAAGGGCAGAACUGUCUUUCUUCCAUUCAUUUUGGACUCUGGAGGCACAAGUAUCUCUAGAAGAUCUUGUUACUAUGUUUUCAGGGUCAUGACACUCAAUAAUGAUAUAAACCUUAACAUAUAUUCUGAAUUUGUGCCUGAGCAUAUGUGCAGCCCAUUUAUGCAGAUGCUCAUGGAGGCAAGAGGGUGUCAGAUCUCCUGGAACUGUAAUUUGUGAGAUAUCAAAUUUAGGUACUGUGAUUUCUGCAAGAGCAAGGGCUCUUAACUGAUCUGUCAUCUUCCCCAUCCCUAACAGACUUUACUUCUAAAUACAUGGACAAUUGUACAUGUCCCUGUCGUAGACUAGCCUAUUACACCCGGGAUCAGAUGCUAAAUCAAAUUUUAAGGGACUAAGCAAUGUACCAGUUUUAUAAUCUAACAAGAUAUUCAUUUAACCAUUACACAACAACUACUGUGUACAUGCUAAGCAGAAAAGGUCCAAUUCAUGUAACACCAUCUGGCUGCUAAGUACAGCUUGCUGGUGUGUGAACGUCUUUUGCUGCAGCAAAGAGGAGCUAGAAAGUAGAUUGUUUGUAAUCAGCUUUUGGAGAGAGGGCGUUAUAAAUCUUGAAGGUGAUUUCUCUACUUCUAUUGGUUGACUACCACUUUCUAAGUCAAAUGAUAAAAUUGUACAUUAAUUCAUAAUUAUUUUCUUAAAAAAAAAACUAAAAAGAGAAUUGGCUGGGCAGUGGUGGCCAUGCACACUUUUAUUCCCAGCACUCAGUGGGCAGAGGCAGGCAGGAACUCAAGACCAGCCUGGUUUAUAGAGCAAAUUCUCAGCCAGCCAGGGUUACAGACUGACAUCCUGUCUUGAAAACAACAAAACAAGCCGGGUAGUGGUGGUACACACCUUUAAUCCUAGCACUUGGGAGGCAGAGGCAGGUGGGCUGACAAGUUUGGGGCCAAGCUGGUCUACAAGGUAAAACUGUCUUAAAAAGCCAGUUUAUUCUAAAACUGUAAUAUAUCUACCAUACUAAUAGUACCAUACGACCCAGGCAGAUUAACUGUUCUGGAAGGGAAAUAACCAUAGAAAGCCCUUUAUCCUAUAUGCUUAGGAUCAACAAUGUAGUAUUCAGUUCUUGGAACUUGGAAUAGCAGUGGUCUAUGUGUAUUGUAGUUGGCAGGUUGGCACUAGGAAUCAGAGGUCAGUACCUCUGUUACUAAGUACCACUUACAGUUAAGUAGUAUCAGUACUGAUAGGUCAGAUUCUGGUCUAAGGCUUCCUAUGUGGAGCAGAGGGUCUUGGGAAUCAUUCUUUACGUUUACUACUGUGUUUGUCCAAGAAAUGUUUUUGUCUAGAUUGCUUUUCAUCCUGGACAAGCAUGUGAAAAUCUGUGUGUCUAAGGACUGUUAACUUGUGAGCUGUGAACACGAACUCCAAAAAUCUUGGUACUAUUUUCCUUGGAGAGAGGAGUUGAUCAAUGAUUACACUGUAAAGACAAAACAGAGAUAAUUAUUGCAGCAUAAAUAUAUACAUCUGAAGCCGUAAAAACAUAUGUAGUUCUAAGCCAUAAGCCAGGAAUGGUGGUACAUACCUUUAAUCCCAGUAACUAGGAUGGAUGUUUUCUGAGACGUGAUCUUGGAAUGCCCAAGUCAGCUCUUAACUGAAGCUUUCAUGUCUUGGUAUGUUUAUGAAACCAUGCACAGAUGGUAUGCUUUAAACAGAACUUUUGUCACCAGGUCUGUAUGACAAUGAUUCCUGCACCUCUUUGGGAUAUGUGCAGAAAACGUACUCAAAAUACUCAAAAAUGUAAUUUUCUUCCUGCUUUUCCUUGAUCCAAGUAGCAGUUCCUGUACAGUGGACUAAGGUUGAACAAACCUGUUAUAUUUUCAGCUCCUCUCCUUGUUAAAGGAUAUCGUCAACCUCGCUUUUAAGGUUUUUAUUGUGUUACUGUAUAACAGUGUAUGUGAAUUCAGGUAAGGUCAGGGAACAACUUUCCAGGUCUUCCUUGUAAUGUGGGUUCUGGGGUUCAAACAAAUCAGGUUUACCUUCUGAGUUACCUGGACAGCCU